RNAcentral lists this long non-coding RNA (1143 nucleotides) under Strix occidentalis caurina (northern spotted owl). RNAcentral describes it as "lncRNA (ENSSOCG00000008698.1)". Lineage: Eukaryota; Metazoa; Chordata; Aves; Strigiformes; Strigidae. The record is from RNAcentral.
AGGACUUGUACCGGUGUGUACGGAGACCCGGGUGCCAAGAACUUGCUGCUCCCUGUUUGAGAUACACAAAAUGUCCCCAAGACACAGGACAGAGAAGCAGCGCCGGGGCUGGGGGGUUGUAUCCCACGGUGAGGCUACCCUAGGCUGUUCCUCAGGGUCAGGGGAGAAAUGAGGAUACCGAUCAAAGCGUUUGAUGCCUUCCCAUUGCCAAAGAGACAGCAGAAAUAACACUAAUAAGCCAAGAUGCUUCAUGGCAAAGCAGCAACAAGAAAACCCAAACCACCAAACAAAACACCGCAAAACUGUCCAGGGAAACACAAACUUUGGGUAAGAGGCUGGACAGCAAAGCUGUGUUGCAAUUUGGGCAGCUCCUUCUCAGGCUGUCUGGGCUGGUUAUUUCUGUUUGCCCUCUUGGUUUCACAUAAAAAAUGGGGAUUGGGAGAAGGGGGAAAUAGUGGAUGGGGAGUGGGAAACAAAAGUGUAUUCAAAAUGGAUUGUGAUCCCCAAAAAGAAACAGCAGAAAUACACACACGCUGCCUAGCCAUGCAAUACUGGGGUGGGCUAGUUAGUUUGGGGGCAGGCCAGGAAAAUUUGGGGGUCCCCCCUAGCACAGUAUCCAGGGAUCCCUGGCACCAGCAGCACGAGGAGUUUGCACCCCAGCAGCGUUUGCACCUGAGGGGUGGCCGGGUGUGCACGUGGGUGCAGGACACCAUCAGGCUUUGCACCCUGAGAGGUGGCCGGGUGGCUGCACGCACCCAGAGCGGGGGGCACAGCUGGGGUCUGCACCCCACAGGGUGGGAGGGUGGGUGCAUGGGUGCCUGCUCCCUGGGGCGCGGAACCCCAUCAAGCUUUGCACCCCACAAGGCAGCCCAGUGGAUGUUGUCUCAGGGUGCUGGACUCGGGACAGGCUUUGCAGCCCACAGCGUGGCCAUGGGCGUGCACGGAUGCCCACCCGCUGGGUGCCAGACCCACUUGUAUCCCACGGGGCUGCCAGGAGGAUGAGCCCACCCCAGGGUGCCGGUGCCAGACCUGGGCAGGGCUUGCACCCCACGGAGUGGCAGGGAGGGUGAGUGGGUCCCCAUCUGGGCAGGAUUUAGUACCCCCAGGGACGGCUGAUGGGUGCCCACCCUGGGGUACUGGAUC